GACGAACGCUGGCGGCGUGCCUAAUACAUGCAAGUAGAACGCUGAAGAGAGGGGCUUGCUCUUCUUGGAUGAGUUGCGAACGGGUGAGUAACGCGUAGGUAACCUGCCUUGUAGCGGGGGAUAACUAUUGGAAACGAUAGCUAAUACCGCAUAACAAUGGAUGACACAUGUCAUUUAUUUGAAAGGGGCAAUUGCUCCACUACAAGAUGGACCUGCGUUGUAUUAGCUAGUAGGUGAGGUAAUGGCUCACCUAGGCGACGAUACAUAGCCGACCUGAGAGGGUGAUCGGCCACACUGGGACUGAGACACGGCCCAGACUCCUACGGGAGGCAGCAGUAGGGAAUCUUCGGCAAUGGGGGCAACCCUGACCGAGCAACGCCGCGUGAGUGAAGAAGGUUUUCGGAUCGUAAAGCUCUGUUGUAAGUCAAGAACGGGUGUGAGAGUGGAAAGUUCACACUGUGACGGUAGCUUACCAGAAAGGGACGGCUAACUACGUG
This 497-nucleotide ribosomal RNA is filed under the name uncultured bacterium. Its description in RNAcentral is "partial 16S ribosomal RNA". It matches the Rfam family "Bacterial small subunit ribosomal RNA", at positions 28 to 507 of the family's 1533-position model. The record is from RNAcentral.